UCCCUCUUAGCUCAGUUGGUAGAGCGCGUCACUAGUAUCGCACGUAUCUCAGAAGUCUUUCAUGACGAGUUCAGUCGUUCAAAUCGGCUAGCGGGAA
This is a non-coding RNA of Mycena epipterygia, 97 nucleotides long. The record is from the annotation of a GenBank genome assembly. Lineage: Eukaryota; Fungi; Basidiomycota; Agaricomycetes; Agaricales; Mycenaceae.